Molecule: non-coding RNA, 29 nt
Filed under: Mus musculus (house mouse)
Lineage: Eukaryota; Metazoa; Chordata; Mammalia; Rodentia; Muridae
Source: RNAcentral
UCAUCCUUCAGCGACUUGAGGUUGUAACA